Molecule: long non-coding RNA, 4354 nt
Filed under: Homo sapiens (human)
Lineage: Eukaryota; Metazoa; Chordata; Mammalia; Primates; Hominidae
Description: HSALNT0315442
Source: RNAcentral
GGGUUCAAGCGAUUCUCCUGCCUCAGCCUCCCUAGUAGCUGGGAUUACAGGCGUGCACCACCACGCCCGCCUAAUUUUUGUAUUUUUAGUAGAGAUGGGGUUUCACUACGUUGGUCAGGAUGGUCUUGAACUUCUGACCUUGUGCUCCACCCACCUCAGCCUCCCAAGAGUUGGGAUUACAGGCGUGAGCCACUGCACCCGGCUGAGAUGAUAAUUUUAUUUAAAAAAAAAAUUGUAGAGAUAGGGUCUUGCCGUGUUGCCCAGGCUGGUCUCAAAUUCCUGGGCUCAGGAGAUCUUCCCUCCUCAGCCCCUCAAAGUGCUGGGAUUACAGGCCUGAGCCACUGCAUCCAGCCAGGAGUGACAAUUUCUAAAGCCUUAAUUAGUGAAAUGGUUUGUUUUGAGAAGCAGAAAUGACUAAGUGGUAUAGACAUGCAGGAAAAGCAAAAUGGGCCUUAUGGCUAUUGAAAUUAUGAGUGUUGAUCUGUUCUAUAAAUUGGAGGAGACAGCUAUUUGCAUUCUUUCUUAUCCAGUUGACUAAACUUACUCAUUUUAAAAUGAAUUAUCUUGCAAAAUUAUGUGAGGUUAAGUUUGUCAGAGGAUUGAAAACGUGGUUGGUUUAUUUGUGGUAAUUGUGAAAAAUUGCAAAGGUAGCAAAAUUUUUUAAAAAAUGGAAAAGAGAAAGAUUAUUGAUGCCUUGUGAAUACAGGUGUCCCCAAAAGGCCUGAGACCAACCUUAAUUAUCAAGAAUAUGGUUGCAGUGGAAAUUGGUAAACAGCUGAAAUUGAUUCAUUGAUUAUUCAACACUUAUUGAGCACAUACUACUAUUAUUAAUAGCUGUACUGCGAGCGCUAAUACUUAAAAGAGGAAGUCAGGUGAAGGCGCAACAGCUUUAUGCUCUUUUUCACUAUAAUCUGUGAAAUAGUGUAUAUUAAACAAUAAUAGUAUAUGGAAAAGCACAUCUACAUGUGUCAUCAGUUAUAAUACUGUGGGGCUGUUUGGCAGACAAUAGAGUAGAUAAAUUUAUUGAACAUUGGGCCUUUGAAAGGUAUGUGGAAAUUGUAAAUAAAAAUGGAUUCCAUGAAUUUCAAAUAAUAAUUGUUCUGUUGUAUGUGAAACUGUGUAAUAAGAUUGUCAUUUUAUUUACUUUUCUGCAUCAUUUUCAACUUCCUUUUUGAGAUUAGCUAAAAUUGAACACUUACAAGAGGAAAUGAUUUUACUUUUAUAUUUUCAUGUCCAAGGGAAGAGGAAAACAUGAAGAAAACAGAUUUAUAAAAUUUACUCACAAGGCUGGGCACGGUGGCUCACACCUGUAAUCCCAGUAGUUUGAGAGGCCGAGGCAGGUGGAUCACGAAGUCAGGAGUUCAAGACCAGCCUGGCCAAGAAGACGUAAGAAUGUGAUGGAGCUGAGAAGGGAGAAUAAACUGCAGGCCGAGGUGGAAUUGUUCUUCAGCUCACACUUCCACUCCUACGUUCCUCCAAUACCAGAGGAUUUCCUUGUGUUCGAAGUUGUGAUCUGCUGUGACUCAAGACUGAGGCUCAGGGCUCCUCCUGGCCAAAGACUGAGCUUCUUUCACCCAGGCUGGAAUGCAGUGGCGCGAUCUCGGCUCACUGCAACUUCCGCCUACCAGGUUCAAGUGAUUCUCCUGCCUCAGCCUCCCGACUAGCUAGGAUUACAGGCUGGAAUACAGUGGCACGAUCUCAGCUCACUGCAAGCUCUACCUCCCAGGUUCAAGUGAUUCUCCCACCUCAGCCUCCCGAGUAGCUGGGACUACAGGUGCAUGCCACCACACCCAGGUGGGAUCUCACUCUGUCACCCAGGUGGGAAUGCAGUGGCACCAUUUCAGCUCACUGCAACCUCCGCCUCCCGGGCUCAAGGCAUCCUCCCACCUCAGCCUCCUGAGUAGCUGGGACCACAGGUGCAUGCCACCACGCCCAACUAAUUUUUUGCAUUUUUUAGUAGAGAUGGGGUCUCGCCAUGUUACCCAGGCUGGUCUCGAACUCCUGAGCUCAAGUGAUCUGCCUGUUUAGGCCUUCUAAAGUGCCGGGAUUACAGGCGUAAGCCAUUGCACCUGGCCUCACACUGGAAUUUUCUACGCACCUGAUGAGGUAUGCUUGUGGCAGUGGUUCUCAAAGUGGGGUCCUGGAACCAGCAGCAUCAGCAGCACUUUGUUAAAUAUGCAGAUUCUCAGGUCCCACCUCAGACUUAAUCAGAAACACUGAGGGUGGGGACUAAUAAUUUUUACCCUCCAGGUACUUUUAUUCAUGGUAGUGUUUGAGAAUCACUGCUUGAUGAGAUAUAGAAAUAAAAACUUGUUAUGGAUGGUGGCUGUUUUGUAGACAAGAUAAAGACAUAUGCACAAAUGACAGUAAUAACUAAUAAAAGUGACAUUUGCCAUAAGAUGGUCAUAAAGUGCAAUUGGAAUUUGGGGGAGAUGUGAUUACUUCAUUAUGAACAUGAUAUCCUCAUUCAUUCAUUCAUUCAUUCAUUCAUUCAUUCAUUGAGGCAUUCUAGGUCCUAAGACUAAGUAAGGCACAGUCUUUGACUUAACAAGCUGAAGUGACAUAAUAGGUGGUUCUCCUUGCUAAUUACCACAUGGCUAGAUUACACAAUCCAAUGAUCUCCACACUUAAAAGUGCAUUUGAAUCACUUGGCAGGCUUAUUAAAACACAAAUUGUCAAACCCCAUGCCCAGAGUUUCUGGUUCGGUAAGUAGGUGGGUGCCAAAAAUUAGUAUUUCCAAAAAUUUUUCAGGAGAUAACUGAUGCCACUUGUCCAGGGUUUGCAAUUUGAGAAUCACUGAUAUAGUCAGUAAUUUAAAGACAGUAGUACUAAUGCCCAGAAAUAUGACUUUGUUUAACAAAGCUGGCCUAAGCUAGAAAUGAAACCAGAUUCCCAGUUCAACAUAACCUCUACUGCAGCCUGCCUUUGUGACCCCUGAAAGAGGAUGCCUGUUUGAUCUCACAGGGAUUCUAACACUUACAGGACAGUAAAGAAUGGAUGACUUUAUGAUACUUCAUCUGUCUCAUUUUUAUGUUGUAUUUUAAUUUCUUAUUCCAAAAUCAGCCAUGUUUCUGACAUCUACAAUGCAACUGUGAACCAUCAAGCUCUCCAUUCUGUGUAGGGAGAUCUGAUCUGUACAUAAAAGUAACAUUUGAAUUACAAUAUCACCUUGAAAAGAGUAAUAUAUAAUAUAUUUUAUUAUCUUCCUGAUAAUAGGAGGUUUUGAGGACAAAGAUCCUCAAUUACAAAAUAUUUCUCCCUUGUACCUCUCUGUUAGAUGACUGUGAAACUAACAAAAGACCAUGUUUGUUGAGAGAAAGGCAUAAAAAUAUGUACUGGGAGACAAAUCAGUGGAGAUAAUAGGCUGUGGGUUCUUUGCUGAUAAUUCACUCUAUUUCAAAAGUAUGUGUGGUUUAUCCAUAAAUCCAUGAUUAAGUUCUCUAAUUCUGUAAUUUGGAGAAAAUAUAUUAAUCUUUUUUGAAUGGAGAUAAAGAUAGAUUCCCCCAAAUUUAAUUAAUCUAUUUUGCAUCCUUGAAUGAUUACAUGAAAACUCAGACCCCUCAGCAUAAAUUAUGUAAUUGAAUUUCAAAUGAUAAUGUGGAAAAAUUGGGCAUGGAUGAAAAUAAUAUAUUCCCAAUUGUAUAAUGACUUUCUUUGACCAUUUAAAAAUAUUUUAAUUGCUUUUAUUUUAAAUCAAGUAUUUUAAGGAAACUAUUUUGAUGAUUUGAAGGUGAGCACUGAGAAGGACUAGAAAUGAGGAAGAGAAGUAGGGGCCUGAUGGUAUUUUAGUCUCAACAGAUGAAUUCUGGUGGAUAUUGGAUGGUUGGUUUGCUUAAUCCUGUAGUGAUUAAUGGCCUAUCAAGGGAUGAGAACAUAUUUUACACACUUAUUUCCUAAAUAUAUGUGCUAAAUUCCUACCAUGGAAUCAAUGCUAUUACAUAAAGGAUAGGGAAAAUCUCUCUGUGUUUAGGUUUCUCCUCUCCCCUGCGGUUAAUCUCCCCUUUCUCCCAUUUUGUCAAAUAGGGUAUAAAAAAUGUUAAGACUUCAACGCAGUUAAAUCUUAGGCACUUUCACUUGUCACAGUCAUCACCCAGUCUCCCAAAUUAAAGAGCAGCUGUUCAGAUUCUCUUGGGUAGGACAUGAUGAGUCUUAUUUCCUACUUCCUGUGGAGCUCAGUUUAAACUAUUUCUGAUCCUCUAGAACUUGAGGUAAUCAUCUACUCUGUAAAAGAAGACAAAAACUCAAUAUUACUUUCUUGAGUAAUUUGGAUGGCCAUUUAUUGCUUUCAUCCUGAGAACAACUGGUUUAUUUUGCCUCCAAAUAUAGCAUUCUUAGAGUUGCCUGAAAGAAUUUA